AAGAUUUGAAAGGAAGGCCCUUCCCCUUUCUUGGGGUUCCCAGCACACCAGCUGCGUAUUGUUGGGUGCGCGCUGGUUAGGGUGUUGUUUAUUUUUAACAAAGCAGGGGAUGGCUCCGAUAAGGACGUAGGAUCCAUAGCAGAAUUGUCACCUACCCCACGCAAGUGCUAUAUGCCGCUGUCCGGUAAGUUUUCAGCUACACUUCCACUAAUGAGAACACGCUGCUGCAUCUUUACGUAGGCUCUGUUCCCUAUAAAGCCAUGGGUGGCAUGCGGUGGGCCAGAGCCUGCCAUCCG
Molecule: long non-coding RNA, 296 nt
Filed under: Volvox carteri
Lineage: Eukaryota; Viridiplantae; Chlorophyta; Chlorophyceae; Chlamydomonadales; Volvocaceae
Description: long non-coding RNA (VCAR_LNC000965)
Source: RNAcentral